Molecule: long non-coding RNA, 762 nt
Organism: Canis lupus familiaris (dog)
Lineage: Eukaryota; Metazoa; Chordata; Mammalia; Carnivora; Canidae
Exons: 3
Source: RefSeq, a predicted model, not a curated record
AGGUUGUAAUUAUGAUGAUCUCCCUCAUAGAAAUGUGAUGAGAAGCUACUCAUAACAAAGACUGUAAAAAUUGUGAACAUGAUGAGAGAUGCAGAUAUUAAAGACUCUUUAAACUGCCUUCAUAUUUGGAUGUGGACAUUGAAGUAUUGCUGACCAAUGCCAGAGUCACAGGAAUAUCCUGCUGUGCUUUUGAUCUUCCCAUAUGACUGGAUUUCCUGAAUCAUCAUGUUACUGUGUGUGCACAUAUGUGCACACGUGAAUCUUCUGGCACAUCUCCCAGAAGCGUUAGUCCUGGGACAAAGGGUCCAUUGGUGCUUUCAGAAUGUAAUAUUGAUCACUUUGGCUUUCCUUGGCUCAGAGCCAGAUACUUUGUCUUUCACUGCACAAGAUGGCUGCCAACCCCAUAAGCUUGUGUCUCAUCAUGACAGGGCUCAGCAGAGCUUCAUGAAGAGUAGGCUAUCUUUGCACUUAGGUUGGGACCAUAUGACAAGUUCUGGCCAAUGGAUUGUGAGUAAAAAUGAAGCAGUUAAGAAAUGAUGUACCUCCUACAUUUCUCUCUUCCCUUGCCUUGGAAAACUUGGAGGCCACAUGUUCCAGAUGGCAUAGAUACAAGUUAGAGGAAGACUGCCAAUCUACAUUAAGAUUUGUAUGAGAAAAUUAAACCCAUUUCACUAAGCCUUUGAGAUUUUGGCAUUUCUCCCUUAUGGCAGCUAUAUUAAUUAUCCUAAUCCAGAGAUUAAUAUUUUGAAAUGAGGUAUUGCU